AAUGAACGCUGGCGGCGCGCCUAAUACAUGCAAGUCGAGCGAGAAGACGUAGCAAUACGUUUGUAAAGCGGCGAACGGGUGAGGAAUACAUGGGUAACCUACCCUAGAGUGGGGAAUAACUAGCCGAAAGGUUAGCUAAUACCGCGUACGCUCCUUGGACUUCGGUUCAGGGAGGAAAGCGAUGCCGAGGGUAUCGCGCUCUUGGAUGGGCUCAUGUCCUAUCAGCUUGNGGUGAGGUAACGGCUCACCAAGGCUUCGACGGGUAGCUGGUCUGAGAGGACGAUCAGCCACACUGGCACUGCGACACGGGCCAGACUCCUACGGGAGGCAGCAGUAAGGAAUAUUGCGCAAUGGGCGAAAGCCUGACGCAGCGACGCCGCGUGGGGGAGUG
This 391-nucleotide ribosomal RNA is filed under the name uncultured bacterium. RNAcentral describes it as "bacterial SSU rRNA". It matches the Rfam family "Bacterial small subunit ribosomal RNA", at positions 29 to 411 of the family's 1533-position model. The record is from RNAcentral.